This 72-nucleotide transfer RNA is filed under the name Serranus papilionaceus. Its description in RNAcentral is "tRNA-Asp". It matches the Rfam family "tRNA". From Rfam's summary of the family: Transfer RNA (tRNA) molecules are approximately 80 nucleotides in length. Lineage: Eukaryota; Metazoa; Chordata; Actinopteri; Perciformes; Serranidae. The record is from RNAcentral.
AAGACACUAGUAAAAUGAUUAUUACACCGCCUUGUCAAGGCGGAAAUGCGGGUUUGACCCCCGCGUGUUUUA